RNAcentral lists this ribosomal RNA (301 nucleotides) under uncultured bacterium. RNAcentral describes it as "partial 16S ribosomal RNA". It matches the Rfam family "Bacterial small subunit ribosomal RNA", at positions 509 to 807 of the family's 1533-position model. The record is from RNAcentral.
CAGCCGCCGCGGGAACACGAAGGGUGCAAGCGUUGUCCGGAAUUAUUGGGCGUAAAGGGCUCGCAGGCGGUUUCUUAAGUCUGAUGUGAAAGCCCCCGGCUCAACCGGGGAGGGUCAUUGGAAACUGGGAAACUUGAAUGCAGAAGAGGAGAGUGGAAUUCCACGUGUAGCGGUGAAAUGCGUAGAGAUGUGGAGGAACACCAGUGGCGAAGGCGACUCUCUGGUCUGUAACUGACGCUGAGGAGCGAAAGCGUGGGGAGCGAACAGGAUUAGAUACCCCUGUAGUCCCUGUCUCUUAUAC